Molecule: ribosomal RNA, 987 nt
Filed under: Triticum aestivum (bread wheat)
Lineage: Eukaryota; Viridiplantae; Streptophyta; Magnoliopsida; Poales; Poaceae
Description: partial small subunit ribosomal RNA
Source: RNAcentral
AUGGCUCCCAGCUGCUGCAAGCUUCUUUGCGCCUCCUCCCGGCUGCUCUUUGCAGUGUCUCUCCUCGCCGUUGCCACCCACGCCGCACGCCCAAAUCCCGUCAGAAUCGCCGUCUACUGGGGCCAGGGCGGCGGGGAGAGCACCCUCAACGAGACAUGCAGCACGGGCCUCUACAGCCAUGUGAACAUCGCCUUCCUCUCCGAGUUCGGCGGCGGCCGAGCCCCGGUCCUCAAUCUUGCCGGGCACUGCGAUCCCACCUCCGGUGGCUGCGCCGCUCUAGCCGCGGACAUCGCGUCCUGCCAGUCCCAAGGCGUGAAGGUGCUUCUCAGCAUCGGCGGCGGAAUAGGCUCCUACGGUCUCUCCAAUGAAACCGAUGCGCAGAACCUGGCCGCAUACCUCUGGAACAACUUCCUCGGCGGAAGCCCCAGCUCCAGCCCGCUCGGCGGCGCCAAGCUGGACGGCAUCGACUUUUCCAUCGCCACUGGCAGGGACGACUACUACGACGAACUCGCCAAGAACUUGAAGACGAUGUACAACUCUUCGGACCUAGCAAGGGCAGGCAACAAGACGCACAUGCUCACCGCCGCGCCGCAGUGCCCGUACCCAGACAAGUUCCUCGCCCCGGCGCUCAAGACAGGGCUGUUCGACCACGUGUGGGUGCAGUUCUACAACAACCCGCCGUGCGACUACGCCAGCGGCACCCUGCAGAGCGCGUGGAACACGUGGACGGCGGCGCUGCCGUCGGCGUCCGUGUUCCUUGGACUGCCGGCGUCGCCCGAUGACGCGGCUAGAGGGUACAUAGACGUGGAGACACUCGCGUCGCAGGUGCUCCCGAUGGCGAGGAGCGCGGCCAACUACGGCGGGGUUAUGCUGUGGAGCCGCCGCCACGACGAGCGAACCGGAUACAGUGCUAAGUUACAGGACAUAGCGAACAACACCGUCGGUACGCAACGAUCUUGCACUUUUCUAGUAUUUGGAAUGGCAUGA